This 322-nucleotide long non-coding RNA is filed under the name Elaeis guineensis (African oil palm). RNAcentral describes it as "long non-coding RNA (EGUI_LNC007644)". The record is from RNAcentral. Lineage: Eukaryota; Viridiplantae; Streptophyta; Magnoliopsida; Arecales; Arecaceae.
UCAAAGGUUCUCUCAUAGAGAUUAGCCAGCAAAAUAGACAAGCUAAUCUAGUUAGGACUUGAUGUCUUGAGAUUCAAUCCAUAUUGAGCCUACAGUGAGGUCCGAAAUGACGAACAAAGUCCAACAAACCUAAGAACAGUCCAAAUGAAGUCUAAAUGGCAAAGUUACAUGCGAGAGAAGCUAGCACGGCCCAUGGAGCAGCGGAGGCCGGUGGAGGCUGGUGACGGGCCGAUGGAGGCCGAGGUGGAGCAAGCGUGCGAACGCAUGGGCGUGGUGGUGUGCGGCCCAGGCCCAGACGGGCACAUGCAAGUGCGGCUCACAC